This 310-nucleotide unclassified non-coding RNA is filed under the name plant metagenome. RNAcentral describes it as "partial contains 5.8S ribosomal RNA, internal transcribed spacer 2, and large subunit ribosomal RNA". The stretch from base 1 to 105 matches the Rfam family "5.8S ribosomal RNA", at positions 50 to 154 of the family's 154-position model. The record is from RNAcentral.
GAAAUGCGAUAAGUAGUGUGAAUUGCAGAAUUCAGUGAAUCAUCGAAUCUUUGAACGCACAUUGCGCCCCUUGGUAUUCCAUGGGGCAUGCCUGUUCGAGCGUCAUUUGUACCCUCAAGCUCUGCUUGGUGUUGGGUGUUUGUCCCCGUCUCCGCGCGUGGACUCGCCCCAAAGUGAUUGGCAGCCGGCGUACUGGUCCCGGAGCGCAGCACAUGUCGCGCAAACGAGUGCCUUGGUACGGCGGCGUCCAUAAACCCCUCUCUCACGCUCUUGACCUCGGAUCAGGUAGGGAUACCCGCUGAACUUAAGC